Molecule: ribosomal RNA, 253 nt
Filed under: uncultured bacterium
Lineage: Bacteria
Description: partial 16S ribosomal RNA
Rfam family: Bacterial small subunit ribosomal RNA
Source: RNAcentral
GACGGGGGGGGCAAGUGUUCUUCGGAAUUACUGGGCGUAAAGGGCUCGUAGGCGGCCAACUAAGUCAGACGUGAAAUCCCUCGGCUUAACCGGGGAACUGCGUCUGAUACUGGAUGGCUUGAGGUUGGGAGAGGGAUGCGGAAUUCCAGGUGUAGCGGUGAAAUGCGUAGAUAUCUGGAGGAACACCGGUGGCGAAGGCGGCUCACUGGCCCGGUACUGACGCUGAGGCGCGAAAGCGUGGGGAGCAAACAGG